CGAAGAUGGUCCAGGCGAGACCUUGAAGCCCAGGGAGGAGGGGCGACGGGUUUGCUGAGUUGCUUCCUUUGCAGAGAUCAUUUCUUUUCCAGCAGGUGCUGCCUUGCCUUAAGCUCCACGACUGUCUUGUGGGAACGAUGUUGGUUGUGGCCGUUUGGAGGUGUCGAACACCACCAGGGAAGGAGUCAGGAAGUCUCUGAGGAUGCCUGUGAUUUGAGCUCCUGGGAAGCACUCUUCUAUUUGUCUCUGAAUUUAACUACUAGUUACCUCAUGUCUCAGCUUGCCUGUCACCUGGCUAUCCAAGGCUGAGGACUUCAUACUUCUUUUGGGGAGGAGGCAUUAGCUGGUUAACUCUGCACUUCCAAUUCCCACUUGUCUUGCUGGAAGUUCUUGGACUCCCCAUUUGGAAAAUUCCCUCCUCCCAGAUAGUUAGUUUGUGUAACUGACACCCCUCCCCCCAGCUCAACGCUUGGUUCUGAUUGUUUAAGCCAAUCAUCAGAUCUCAUUCUACCUGUUACUGCCAUCAGUGCAAGGA
Molecule: long non-coding RNA, 535 nt
Organism: Manis pentadactyla (Chinese pangolin)
Lineage: Eukaryota; Metazoa; Chordata; Mammalia; Pholidota; Manidae
Exons: 3
Source: RefSeq, a predicted model, not a curated record